This 128-nucleotide small nucleolar RNA is filed under the name Kryptolebias marmoratus (mangrove rivulus). Its description in RNAcentral is "Small nucleolar RNA SNORA63 (ENSKMAG00000000243.1)". Lineage: Eukaryota; Metazoa; Chordata; Actinopteri; Cyprinodontiformes; Rivulidae. The record is from RNAcentral.
CAGCAGGAUAUCUACUGUGCAGCUCGUGUGGUGCUGUAUUGUCGUUCCCCCUGCUGAAAGUAAAAUGUCUCCAGCUAUCCCUGUCUGUCCACAUCCCCCGACAGCCAGGGACGCAAGGUUUCAGACAC